UACGUAGGGUGCAAGCGUUAAUCGGAAUUACUGGGCGUAAAGCGUGCGCAGGCGGUUGUGCAAGACCGAUGUGAAAUCCCCGGGCUUAACCUGGGAAUGGCAUUGGUGACUGCACGGCUAGAGUGUGUCAGAGGGGGGUAGAAUUCCACGUGUAGCAGUGAAAUGCGUAGAGAUGUGGAGGAAUACCGAUGGCGAAGGCAGCGCCCUGGGAUAACACUGACGCUCAUGCACGAAAGCGUGGGGAGCAAACAGG
RNAcentral lists this ribosomal RNA (253 nucleotides) under uncultured bacterium. RNAcentral describes it as "partial 16S ribosomal RNA". It matches the Rfam family "Bacterial small subunit ribosomal RNA", at positions 524 to 776 of the family's 1533-position model. The record is from RNAcentral.